CUCCUGGAAACGGGUGGUAAUGCCGGAUGCUCCGCCCCCUCGCAUGGGGGGUCGGGAAGGCUUUUGCGGAAUGGGAUGGGGUCGCGUCCUAUCAGCUUGUUGGCGGGGCGACGGCCCACCAAGGCUUCGACGGGUAGCCGGCCUGAGAGGGCGACCGGCCACAUUGGGACUGAGAUACGGCCCAGACUCCUACGGGAGGCAGCAGUGGGGAAUAUUGCACAAUGGGGGGAACCCUGAUGCAGCGACGCCGCGUGCGGGAUGGAGGCCUUCGGGUCGUGAACCGCUUUUGAUUGGGAGCAAGCGUGAGUGAGUGUACCUUUCGAAUAAGCACCGGCUAACUACGUGCCAGCAGCCGCGGUAAUACGUAGGGUGCAAGCGUUGUCCGGAAUCAUUGGGCGUAAAGGGCUCGUAGGCGGUUCGUCGCGUCCGGUGUGAAAGCCCAUCGCUUAACGGUGGGUCUGCGCCGGGUACGGGCGGGCUUGAGUGCGGCAGGGGAGGCCGGAAUUCCCGGUGUAACGGUGGAAUGUGUAGAUAUCGGGAAGAACACC
Molecule: ribosomal RNA, 548 nt
Filed under: uncultured Bifidobacterium sp.
Lineage: Bacteria; Bacillati; Actinomycetota; Actinomycetes; Bifidobacteriales; Bifidobacteriaceae
Description: bacterial SSU rRNA
Rfam family: Bacterial small subunit ribosomal RNA
Source: RNAcentral